UACGUAGGGUGCAAGCGUUAAUCGGAAUUACUGGGCGUAAAGGGUUCGUAGGUGGCUUGCUAAGUCAGACGUGAAAUCCCUCAGCUUAACUGGGGAACUGCGUCUGAGACUGGUGAGCUUGAGUGCAGGAGAGGAACGCGGAAUUCCAGGUGUAGCGGUGAAAUGCGUAGAUAUCUGGAGGAAGGCCAGUGGCGAAGGCGGGUCUCUGGACAGUUCCUGACACUGAGGCACGAAGGCCAGGGGAGCAAACGGG
RNAcentral lists this ribosomal RNA (253 nucleotides) under uncultured bacterium. RNAcentral's name for it is "partial 16S ribosomal RNA". It matches the Rfam family "Bacterial small subunit ribosomal RNA", at positions 524 to 776 of the family's 1533-position model. The record is from RNAcentral.